GUCCCCUUAGCUUAGCUGGACAAAGCGUGCGGCUACGAACCGCAAGACCGGGAGUUCGAAUCUCUCAGGGGAUACCA
This 77-nucleotide transfer RNA is filed under the name Methanobrevibacter sp. RNAcentral describes it as "tRNA-Arg". It matches the Rfam family "tRNA". Rfam says of the family: Transfer RNA (tRNA) molecules are approximately 80 nucleotides in length. Their secondary structure includes four short double-helical elements and three loops (D, anti-codon, and T loops). Further hydrogen bonds mediate the characteristic L-shaped molecular structure. tRNAs have two regions of fundamental functional importance: the anti-codon, which is responsible for specific mRNA codon recognition, and the 3' end, to which the tRNAs corresponding amino acid is attached (by aminoacyl-tRNA synthetases). tRNAs cope with the degeneracy of the genetic code in two manners: having more than one tRNA (with a specific anti-codon) for a particular amino acid; and 'wobble' base-pairing, i.e. permitting non-standard base-pairing at the 3rd anti-codon position. Lineage: Archaea; Methanobacteriati; Methanobacteriota; Methanobacteria; Methanobacteriales; Methanobacteriaceae. The record is from RNAcentral.